This 742-nucleotide ribosomal RNA is filed under the name uncultured cyanobacterium. RNAcentral describes it as "bacterial SSU rRNA". It matches the Rfam family "Bacterial small subunit ribosomal RNA", at positions 67 to 852 of the family's 1533-position model. The record is from RNAcentral. Lineage: Bacteria; Bacillati; Cyanobacteriota.
CGGAAUCUUCGGAUUUAGUGGCGGACGGGUGAGUAACGCGUGAGAAUCUACCAUCAGGUCUGGGACAACCAGUGGAAACGGUGGCUAAUACCAGAUGUGCCGAAAGGUGAAAGGUUAACUGCCUGUUGAUGAGCUCGCGUCUGAUUAGCUAGUUGGUAGAGUAAGAGCCUACCAAGGCGACGAUCAGUAGCUGGUCUGAGAGGACGAUCAGCCACACUGGGACUGAGACACGGCCCAGACUCCUACGGGAGGCAGCAGUGGGGAAUUUUCCGCAAUGGGCGAAAGCCUGACGGAGCAAUACCGCGUGAGGGAGGAAGGCUCUUGGGUCGUAAACCUCUUUUCUCAGGGAAGAACACAAUGACGGUACCUGAGGAAUAAGCAUCGGCUAACUCCGUGCCAGCAGCCGCGGUAAUACGGAGGAUGCAAGCGUUAUCCGGAAUGAUUGGGCGUAAAGCGUCCGCAGGUGGCUGUGUAAGUCUGCUGUUAAAGAGUCUAGCUCAACUAGAUAAAAGCAGUGGAAACUACACGGCUAGAGUGCGUUCGGGGCAGAGGGAAUUCCUGGUGUAGCGGUGAAAUGCGUAGAGAUCAGGAAGAACACCGGUGGCGAAGGCGCUCUGCUAGGCCGCAACUGACACUGAGGGACGAAAGCUAGGGGAGCGAAUGGGAUUAGAUACCCCAGUAGUCCUAGCCGUAAACGAUGGAUACUAGGCGUGGCUUGUAUCGACCCGAGCCGUGCCGAAGC